UUAGGAUCAAGAGCACUAAGAGGGGGGGGGGGGUGAAUUAGUGCAGCGGAAAACUUUCGACGAUUAAAAAAGUGUUCGUACGAUAAAAACAAUUUCGGUAGAAGAGCCGAUUCGUAAAUCUCUUUAACUUGUAAUUAAGCGAGAUGUAGUUAAAGGAAAUCUAUGAAGGCAGUUUGCAGUUAUGAUGAAAGUUAAAAUAUAAGCGCAAACUGAAAUAUGAUGUUCGUACGAUAAACUGAUUUACG
Molecule: long non-coding RNA, 245 nt
Filed under: Musa acuminata (dwarf banana)
Lineage: Eukaryota; Viridiplantae; Streptophyta; Magnoliopsida; Zingiberales; Musaceae
Description: long non-coding RNA (MACU_LNC009904)
Source: RNAcentral